CAAUUAUUCCUAUAAGUUUACUCACGGCAAUCGUUUAAGCAGAUGAAAGAAAAAACGCAUAUCAAUGGAUAAUUUUUGCAAUUGCAGAUAAACAAACCAACCUUUCGUCAUUAAUCUUCGGAGGCGAAUUACAUAUUCAUAUCCACAAUAAAAGAAUUAGUGAGACUCCCUUUCUUUUGAUAUUCCCCAUCUUAAUGAAUUUUGGAAGUCAACACAUUUCACGGGCCUGGUGAAAUGAAAAACUACGAAGAGGAAUUCACAUGGAUUUAGGAAAGGCCUGCUGUAUUUGUGUACAAGCUAAAGUUUUUUGAAAAACGAAUAUCUUUGGUCACUUUCAUUGUCAAAUAGGCUUUUCCUUCGUAUACCUUCCUUACCUCGACCUAGUGAAGCACAACAAAAAAAGGUAGUCUUCUUUUUCUGUAUUCAACCAAGAAAAACCCCUCCACCUGGAUUCGAAUCCUAAUACUAUACUAAUACUAUAUAAUACUAUACUAAUACUAUAUAUUAAAUAAUAAUUUAUUAAAUAAUAAUAAAAGGAAUAUACCAACAUAAGAUCUUCUAAAUCUUGAGAUGGAAAUUCCGAUACAUUCUCUUCUAUUUGAUUACUUGUUCUAUUCUAAAUCACUAAGAAAAAAAAAAUGCAAAUAAAGACCUCCUGAUUCUNACAAUUGCAGAUAAACAAACCAACCUUUCAUCAUUAAUCUUCGGAGGCGAAUUACAUAUUCAUAUCCACAAUAAAAAAACUAGUGAGACUCCCUUUCUUUUGAUAUUCCCCAUCUUAAUGAAUUUUGGAAGUCAACACAUUUCACGGGCCUAGUAAAAUAAAAAACUACGAAGAGAAAUUCACAUGGAUUUAGGAAAGGCCUGCUGUAUUUGUGUACAAGCUAAAGUUUUUUGAAAAAUAAAUAUCUUUGGUCACUUUCAUUGUCAAAUAGGCUUUUCCUUCGUAUACCUUCCUUACCUCGACCUAGUGAAGCACAACAAAAAAAGGUAGUCUUCUUUUUCUGUAUUCAACCAAGAAAAACCCCUCCACCUGGAUUCGAAUCCUAAUACUAU
RNAcentral lists this long non-coding RNA (1056 nucleotides) under Solanum pimpinellifolium. RNAcentral's name for it is "long non-coding RNA (SPIM_LNC000055)". The record is from RNAcentral. Lineage: Eukaryota; Viridiplantae; Streptophyta; Magnoliopsida; Solanales; Solanaceae.